UGUGUGAGCUAUUUAUUUGUGGACACAAUGUCAGAACACACAAAACGGCAGGAGUAAACUCAAAAUGAGCAUUUAAUUGUCAUAGUCUAAAAAUACACAGGAACAAACAGAUAAGACAGCGAAUGAACAACUCUAAGGAUUGCUAGGAGAUACAGCGUCACUGUCAAACUCAGAGUACUACUCUGAGGUACUGCGGAGAGCUACACACAGCUAUGAGGGAUAAUGAAUAAACAGAGACAGAGACAAUAUAUAUAGACACAGCAGAUAACGAGGGGAGCGGUAACAGCCGUUUUCAAGGAGGACCUUUUACCCCAGACGUGUCAUUCGGCCAGAGUUCUGGAUGGAAGUCUCCAAUCUUUAGACCACCGUCCUCCUCCAGGCACUCCAUGUCCUCACUGGUCUACCCACCUCCUUAAAAAAACACACACACGAAAACUGUCAUGAGGUCUCUAGAUGAAGUACGCCUAGCUAAAAUGAGUCACCACCCGGUUUAUAUGUUGGUUUCACUCACACACCUGUGAAUUCACAGACACGAUUAAAUGUAUUUAGCUUAAAACCAAGAUUUGUUCUUAUGUACAUUGAUUACAAACCUAAAAUUUAAGUUUGGUAAAUUGUGUUCAAUCUACAAAUUCAAUAAACAGAUGAUAAGAUAA
Non-coding RNA from Neolamprologus brichardi, 653 nucleotides. Lineage: Eukaryota; Metazoa; Chordata; Actinopteri; Cichliformes; Cichlidae. The record is from RefSeq and is a predicted model, not a curated record.